RNAcentral lists this ribosomal RNA (749 nucleotides) under Leuconostoc mesenteroides. RNAcentral describes it as "bacterial SSU rRNA". It matches the Rfam family "Bacterial small subunit ribosomal RNA", at positions 18 to 750 of the family's 1533-position model. The record is from RNAcentral. Lineage: Bacteria; Bacillati; Bacillota; Bacilli; Lactobacillales; Lactobacillaceae.
CAUGGCUCAGGAUGAACGCUGGCGGCGUGCCUAAUACAUGCAAGUCGAACGCACAGCGAAAGGUGCUUGCACCUUUCAAGUGAGUGGCGAACGGGUGAGUAACACGUGGACAACCUGCCUCAAGGCUGGGGAUAACAUUUGGAAACAGAUGCUAAUACCGAAUAAAACUUAGUGUCGCAUGACAAAAAGUUAAAAGGCGCUUCGGCGUCACCUAGAGAUGGAUCCGCGGUGCAUUAGUUAGUUGGUGGGGUAAAGGCCUACCAAGACAAUGAUGCAUAGCCGAGUUGAGAGACUGAUCGGCCACAUUGGGACUGAGACACGGCCCAAACUCCUACGGGAGGCUGCAGUAGGGAAUCUUCCACAAUGGGCGAAAGCCUGAUGGAGCAACGCCGCGUGUGUGAUGAAGGCUUUCGGGUCGUAAAGCACUGUUGUAUGGGAAGAACAGCUAGAAUAGGAAAUGAUUUUAGUUUGACGGUACCAUACCAGAAAGGGACGGCUAAAUACGUGCCAGCAGCCGCGGUAAUACGUAUGUCCCGAGCGUUAUCCGGAUUUAUUGGGCGUAAAGCGAGCGCAGACGGUUUAUUAAGUCUGAUGUGAAAGCCCGGAGCUCAACUCCGGAAUGGCAUUGGAAACUGGUUAACUUGAGUGCAGUAGAGGUAAGUGGAACUCCAUGUGUAGCGGUGGAAUGCGUAGAUAUAUGGAAGAACACCAGUGGCGAAGGCGGCUUACUGGACUGCAACUGACGUGAG